RNAcentral lists this ribosomal RNA (329 nucleotides) under uncultured eukaryote. RNAcentral's name for it is "partial 18S ribosomal RNA". It matches the Rfam family "Eukaryotic small subunit ribosomal RNA", at positions 1470 to 1796 of the family's 1831-position model. The record is from RNAcentral.
CCCUUAGAUGUUCUGGGCUGCACACGUGCUACACUGGCAGGUUCAGCGAGCUUCAUGCCCUGAUCUGAAAGGAAUGGGAAAUCUUUUCAAAACCUGCCGUGCUUGGGAUAGAUGUUUGCAAUUAUUCAUCUUCAACGAGGAUUGCCUUGUAAGCGCACGUCAUCAGCGUGCAUUGAAUACGACCCUGUAUUCUGUACACACCGCCCGUCGCUCCUACCGAUUGAGUGGUCCGGUGAGGCUUUGGGAUCUGAGCGGAAAGAGCGUUUCGCUGUUUCUGCUCGGAAAACUCAGUCGAACCUUAUCAUUUAGAGGAAGGAGAAGUCGUAACA